This 293-nucleotide ribosomal RNA is filed under the name uncultured prokaryote. RNAcentral's name for it is "partial 16S ribosomal RNA". It matches the Rfam family "Archaeal small subunit ribosomal RNA", at positions 455 to 747 of the family's 1478-position model. The record is from RNAcentral.
GUGUCAGCCGCCGCGGUAACACCGGCAGCUCUAGUGGUAGCUGUUUUUAUUGGGCCUAAAGCGUUCGUAGCGGGUUUGAUAAGUCACUGGUGAAAUCCUGUAGCUUAACUGUGGGAAUUGCUGGUGAUACUGUUGAACUUGAGGUCGGGAGAGGUUAGCGGUACUCCCAGGGUAGAGGUGAAAUUCUGUAAUCCUGGGAGGACCACCUGUGGCGAAGGCGGCUAACUGGAACGAACCUGACGGUGAGGGUCGAAAGCUAGGGGCGCGAACCGGAUUAGAAACCCGGGUAGUCC